GACGAACGCUGGCGGCGUGCUUAACACAUGCAAGUCGAACGGAAAGGCCCUGCUUUUGUGUGGUGCUCGAGUGGCGAACGGGUGAGUAACACAUGAGUAACCUGCCCUUGACUUUGGGAUAACUUCAGGAGACUGGGGCUAAUACCGGAUACGAGCUCCUGCUGCAUGGUGGGGGUUGGAAAGCUUCGGCGGUUGGGGAUGGACUCGCGGCUUAUCAGCUUGUUGGUGGGGUAGUGGCUUACCAAGGCUUUGACGGGUAGCCGGCCUGAGAGGGUGACCGGCCACAUUGGGACUGAGAUACGGCCCAGACUCCUACGGGAGGCAGCAGUGGGGAAUAUUGCACAAUGGGCGGAAGCCUGAUGCAGCAACGCCGCGUGCGGGAUGACGGCCUUCGGGUUGUAAACCGCUUUCGCCUGUGACGAAGCGUGAGUGACGGUACUUGGUAAAGAAGCACCGGCUAACUACGUG
Molecule: ribosomal RNA, 468 nt
Filed under: uncultured bacterium
Lineage: Bacteria
Description: partial 16S ribosomal RNA
Rfam family: Bacterial small subunit ribosomal RNA
Source: RNAcentral